This 837-nucleotide ribosomal RNA is filed under the name Didymella coffeae-arabicae. Its description in RNAcentral is "partial large subunit ribosomal RNA". It matches the Rfam family "Eukaryotic large subunit ribosomal RNA", at positions 76 to 931 of the family's 3401-position model. Lineage: Eukaryota; Fungi; Ascomycota; Dothideomycetes; Pleosporales; Didymellaceae. The record is from RNAcentral.
UGCCCUAGUAACGGCGAGUGAAGCGGCAACAGCUCAAAUUUGAAAUCUGGCGUCUUCGGCGUCCGAGUUGUAAUUUGCAGAGGGCGCUUUGGCAUUGGCAGCGGUCCAAGUUCCUUGGAACAGGACGUCACAGAGGGUGAGAAUCCCGUACGUGGUCGCUAGCCUUUACCGUGUAAAGCCCCUUCGACGAGUCGAGUUGUUUGGGAAUGCAGCUCUAAAUGGGAGGUAAAUUUCUUCUAAAGCUAAAUACUGGCCAGAGACCGAUAGCGCACAAGUAGAGUGAUCGAAAGAUGAAAAGCACUUUGGAAAGAGAGUUAAAAAGCACGUGAAAUUGUUGAAAGGGAAGCGCUUGCAGCCAGACUUGCCUGUAGUUGCUCAUCCGGGUUUCUACCCGGUGCACUCUUCUAUAGGCAGGCCAGCAUCAGUUUGGGCGGUUGGAUAAAGGUCUCUGUCAUGUACCUCUCUUCGGGGAGAACUUAUAGGGGAGACGACAUGCAACCAGCCUGGACUGAGGUCCGCGCAUCUGCUAGGAUGCUGGCGUAAUGGCUGUAAGCGGCCCGUCUUGAAACACGGACCAAGGAGUCUAACAUCUAUGCGAGUGUUUGGGUGUCAAGCCCGAGCGCGUAAUGAAAGUGAACGGAGGUGGGAACCUUUCGGGGUGCACCAUCGACCGAUCCUGAUGUCUUCGGAUGGAUUUGAGUAAGAGCAUAGCUGUUGGGACCCGAAAGAUGGUGAACUAUGCUUGAAUAGGGUGAAGCCAGAGGAAACUCUGGUGGAGGCUCGCAGCGGUUCUGACGUGCAAAUCGAUCGUCAAAUUUGGGCAUAGGGGCGAAAGAC